CCAAGGGGCCGCGUGCGCCGGAGACUCUCCCCGCCCCGCAACCGGGAAACGUCCAGAACCCCGAAAUGUGGAGAAAACACAACCUUCUUUUCACGGGGGCGUGGCCCGCCGGUUGCAGUACGCGAAAUUGGCAAAAUGAUGUAAACAGGGAAGUUCGGCAGAUUUCAGUUCAUUGUAAACUUGCCAAGGGAGCCGACCACAGACACGAGAGAGCUGCUUUGGGACAGUGAAUUACUCUUCUUUUGAGACGGUCUAAUGAUGCCUGGGUGGUGCCUUCGUAGGACGGUCAUCACACCUGAACAAGGGGGUCCCCGGCCCCGGGCCCCAUGCUUUACUGGGCCCUGUUCUGUCCCUCUUCUGGCAUCAUCUCCCAUGGAGAAAAGAAUGUGUUGAAGCCAAGAAGAUGCUCCCCCCAAGAAUAUCAUCUCUGCUAGAACAGGGGCUGGAGUGUAACGGCGUGAUCUCGGCUCACUGCACCCUCGACUUCCUGGAUUCAGGUGAUCCCCUCACCUCAGCCUCCCCAGUAGCUGGUGUGUCCGGAAUUGGUGGGUUCUUGGUCUCACUGACUUCAAGAAUGAAGCCGCGGACCCUCACGGUGAGUGUUACAGUUCUUAAAGGUGGCGUGUCCGGAGUUUGUUCCUUCUGAUGUUCAGAUGUGUUCGGAGUUUCUUCCUUCUGGUGGGUUUGUGGUCUCGCUGGCUCAGGAGUGAAGCUGCAGACCUUCGUGGUGAGUGUUACAGCUCUUAAGGCAGCGCGUCUCAAGUUGUUCAUUCCUCCCGGGGGGUUCGUGGUCUCAUUGGCUUCAGCAGUGAAGCUGCAGACCUUCGUGGUGAGUGUUACAGCUCAUAAAGGCAGUGUGGACCCAAAGAGUGAGCAGCAGCAAGAUUUAUUGCAAAGAAAGACAAAGCUUCCACAGUAUGGAAGGGGACCCAAACAGGUUGCCACUGCUGGCUCAGGCAGCCUGCUUUUAUUCUCUUAUCUGGCCCCACCCACAUCCUGCUGAUUGGUAGAGCCAAGUGGUCUGUUUUGACAGGGCGCUGAUUGGUGUGUUUACAAUCCCUGAGCUAGACACAAAGGUUCUCCACCUCCCCACCAGAGUAGCUAGAUACAGAGUGUCGAUUCGUGCAUUCACAAACCCGGAGCUAGACACACGGUGCCAAUUGGUGCAUUUACAAUCCCUUAGCUAGACAUAAAGGUUCUGCAGGUCCCCACUAAACUCAGGAGCCCAGCUGGCUUCACCCAGUGGAUCCCGCACCUGGGCUGCAGGUGGAGCUGCCUGCCACUCCCAUGCCGUGCACCCGCACUCCUCAGCCCUUGGGUCGUCGAUGGGACUGGGCACCGUGGAGCAGGGGGCAGCGCUUGUCGGGGAGGCUCCAGCAGCACAGCACCCCACAGAGAGGGGGAGGCUCAGGCAUGGCGGGCUGCAGGUCCCGAGCCCUGCCCCGCGGGGAGGCAGCUAAGGCCCGGCGAGAAAUCGAGCCUAGUGCCGGUAGGCGGCCCUGCUCCGAGUACGGGGCCUCCACAGCCGCUGGCCCUGGUGCUAAGCCCCUCAUUGCGUGGGGUCGGCAGGGCCCGCCGCCUGCUCCGAGUGUGGGGCCCGCCAAGCCCACGCACACGUGGAGCUCCAGCUGGCCCUCAAGCGCCCGCACACCCCCGGUUCCCGCUCGUGCCUCUCCCUCCACACCUCCUUGCAAGCUGAGGGAGCCAGCUCCGGCCUUGGCCAGCCCAGAAAGGGGCUCCCACAGUGCAGCGGUGGGCUGAAGGGCUCCUCAAGUGCUGCCAAAGUGGGAGCCCAGGCAGAGGAGGUGCCGAGAGCGAGUGAGGCCUCUGAGGACUGCCAGCACGCUGUCACCUCUCACUGGGACUACAGGUGAGCACCCACACACCCGGCUAAUUUUUUUUAUUUUUUGGUAGAGAUGGGGUCUCCCUAUGUUGCCCAAGCUCAUUUAGAACUCCUGGGCUCAAGCAAUCCACCUGCCUCAGCCUCCCCAAGUGCUAGGAUUAUAGGCAUGAGCCACCGCCCCCAGCCUCAAAGUUGUUUUUUAAAAAUGUAAUUAUCUAUUCCCUUUAAGGCACAUAAUUUUCUGAAUGAACCUCUACCCUAUUAGGUGGGUAGGAGUUGGGUGAGACUUAAACUUGAAAUGAUAAUGCCUAAAGUUUGUGCAGUUUAAACCCCAGGGGUCCCCAUCACCUGGGCCAUGGACCAGUACUACAUUGGCUAUAUUUGAAGAAUUGUCUUGGGCCACACAUAAAAUACGUUAACAUUAAUGAUAGCUGGUGAGCUAAAAAAAAAAAAAAAAAAAUCGCAAAGGCAAUCUCACGUUUUAAGAAAGUUUAUGAAUUUGUGUUGGGCUGCAUCCAAAGCCUUCCUGGGCCACAGGCACCAUAGGCUGUGGGUUGGACAAGCUUGUUAUAGGCCUCAUAUGUGGUGGGGCUGCUGUUUUAAAAGUCUCAUCAGUGCAGAUUUUACUUAUUGCAUGAAGAUUGAUAUUUAAGUUGAG
Long non-coding RNA from Gorilla gorilla gorilla (western lowland gorilla), 2501 nucleotides. RefSeq lists it as uncharacterized. Lineage: Eukaryota; Metazoa; Chordata; Mammalia; Primates; Hominidae. The transcript is spliced from 3 exons. The record is from RefSeq and is a predicted model, not a curated record.